This 967-nucleotide ribosomal RNA is filed under the name uncultured organism. RNAcentral's name for it is "SSU rRNA". It matches the Rfam family "Bacterial small subunit ribosomal RNA", at positions 528 to 1486 of the family's 1533-position model. The record is from RNAcentral.
UAUGGUGCAAGCGAUAUCCGGAUUUACUGGGAUGUAAAGGGAGCGCAAGCGGAAGGCUAAGUCUGAUGUGAAAGCCCGGGACUCACCCCCGGUACUGCAUUGGAAACUGGUCAUCUAUAGUGUCCGAGGGGUAAGUGGAAUUCCUAGUGUAGCGGUGAAAUGCGUAGAUAUUAGGAGAGACAUCAGUGCACGACGGCGACUUAGUGGACGAUAACUGACGCUGAGACUCGAAAGCGUGGCGAGCAAACAGGAUAUGAUACCAGUGGUAGUACACGCUGUAAUCGAUGACAUAUUAGGAGUCGGGAAGCACAGUUUUUGGGCGACGCUAGCAAACGCAUUAAGUAUUCCACAUGGUGAGUACGUUGGCAAGAAUGAAAAUCAAAGGAAUUGACGGGGACCCGCACAAGCGGUGGCAGACGUGUGGUAUAAUUUGAAGCAACGCGAAGAUCCUUAACAAGUCUUGACAUCGUUCUGACGCGACAGUAAUGUGUCCUUUCCUUCGGGACAGACAGUGACAGGUGGUGCAUGGUUGUCGUCAGUCUCGUGUCGUGAGAUGUUGGAUUAAUUCCCGCAACGAGCGCAACCGUUAUCCCCAGUAGCCAGCAUUUUAGAUGGGCACUCUGAGGAGACCGCCAGGGAUAACAUGGAGGAAGGUGGGGAAGACGUCAAAUCAUCAUGCUCAUUAUGACCUGGGCUUCACACGUGAUACAAUGGUGUAAACAAAGGGAAGCAAGACCGUGAGGUGGAGCAAAUCCCAAAAAUAACGUAUCAGUUUGGAAUGUAGUAUGCAACCCGACUACACGAAGCUGGAAUCGCUAGUAAUCGCAGAUCAGAAUGUUGCGCAGAAUACGUUCCCGGGUUUUGUACACACCGCCCGUCACACCAUGGGAGUCGGAAAAGCCGGAAGUCAGUGAACCAACCGCAAGGAGGGAUCUGCCGAAGGCAGGUUCGAUAACUGGGGUGAAGU